AGGACCAUAGCCCAGUGGUAGAGUGUCUGCUUCACAUGCAGAAGGUUCCAGGUUCAAUCCCCAAUGGCAUCUU
Podarcis lilfordi (Lilford's wall lizard) is the source of this 73-nucleotide non-coding RNA. The record is from the annotation of a GenBank genome assembly. Lineage: Eukaryota; Metazoa; Chordata; Lepidosauria; Squamata; Lacertidae.